AUUAUUUUAGAAUUUGAAGAAAUUUCUUCUACAGCAAGAAGAGGAUCUUUACCGUCUCAGCCACAACCUUCUGGUUGUGCUUGAAAAAUAUGGAGUUCAACUAUGUUUUUUGAAGUCAUAUGUGACUUAUAUUUUGUGACUACUCAAUGGUCAAAUAAUAUAUAUUUUGUCCCGUAAAUGAGGGAAGAAAUUGCAGUUCAGAAAGCUAAGGAAACAGAACUUAAUAAAACCAUUCACAUUACAGGUACUGCAUGAUGGGGCAAAGGAGUUGGCUCAAAACGAUCUUAAUUCUGCAAAGUAUGUUAUAUCCGAUGAGAGCAAGGACAUUGGUGAAAAACUUUCAGAAAUUGGAAGCAGGCUGGAUUAUCCUCAUCUCACUAAGGAUCUUGCAAAGGAAAUAGAGACUCUAUGGGAGGAUGCUGCCAUUCAGGAAACAUAUGCCCGUGGUAAUGAACUCCAAGUUCCUGAUUGUACCAAAUAUUUCAUGGAAAAUUUGCAGAGGUUGUCUGAUGCUAAUUACGUUCCUACAAAGGAGGAUGUUUUGUAUGCAAGAGUUCGUACAACUGGUGUUGUGGAGAUCCAGUUCAGGUGAACAUGCAGAGAUGACAUGAUUUUUU
Long non-coding RNA from Lathyrus oleraceus (garden pea), 617 nucleotides. RefSeq lists it as uncharacterized. The record is from RefSeq and is a predicted model, not a curated record. Lineage: Eukaryota; Viridiplantae; Streptophyta; Magnoliopsida; Fabales; Fabaceae. The transcript is spliced from 6 exons.